UAAUACGAAGGGAUCUAGCGUUGUUCGGAUUUACUGGGCGUAAAGGGCGCGUAGGCGGUCUAGCAAGUAAGGUGUGAAAGCCCUGAGCUUAACUCGGGAACUGCACUUUAAACUACUAGGCUAGAGUAUGGGAGAGGUAAGUGGAAUUUCCAGUGUAGAGGUAAAAUUCGUAGAUAUUGGAAAGAACACCAGUGGCGAAGGCGACUUACUGGACCAUUACUGACGCUGAGGCGCGAAAGCGUGGGGAGCAAACAGG
This 256-nucleotide ribosomal RNA is filed under the name uncultured bacterium. RNAcentral describes it as "partial 16S ribosomal RNA". It matches the Rfam family "Bacterial small subunit ribosomal RNA", at positions 521 to 776 of the family's 1533-position model. The record is from RNAcentral.